RNAcentral lists this unclassified non-coding RNA (507 nucleotides) under Blysmus compressus. Its description in RNAcentral is "partial external transcribed spacer 1F". The record is from RNAcentral. Lineage: Eukaryota; Viridiplantae; Streptophyta; Magnoliopsida; Poales; Cyperaceae.
UUCUAGACAUGCUAUGCAUGGCGGGCUCCCUGCACUUUUGUGCGGCCAACCGGCAUGCGGCUGUCUCUUCACUCUCCCUCCCGUCAGCACAUCUGUGCAGGGCAGGGAUGCUCGGUAUCGGUUGCCUGUAUGGUUCUACCCAUUCUCGGGUAGCGAAGUAGUCCCUCGAAGGUUUUUUUUGCUUUCCCUACUGAUAUAUUGUCGCUAGGGAAGCCGAAAUGUCGGUGAAAUCCUUGUGUCGUUGUGGGCGAAUGCCUUACCACCGUCACUUGGAUGUUUGCCGGCUCUCACGGAUGCUGUGCCCAUUGUUAGCUCCGCAGGCCUCUGUCCCGCGGGCUUCGGGAGGUCCCAUGUAUGUAUGCGUCACUGCUCUAGAGCUAGACCGUACGUGCAUGCGGAAUGCCUCCCGGAAUGAAUAUAGCAGCGAUCGCUAGUUUUCGUCAUGAGAAGGACCUCCCGUCUGGGUUGGUGCCGGACAUGACGUGCUGGCUCUCGUUUAAGACGUGC